Molecule: RNase P RNA, 412 nt
Filed under: Qipengyuania oceanensis
Lineage: Bacteria; Pseudomonadati; Pseudomonadota; Alphaproteobacteria; Sphingomonadales; Erythrobacteraceae
Description: Bacterial RNase P class A
Rfam family: Bacterial RNase P class A
About the family: Ribonuclease P (RNase P) is a ubiquitous endoribonuclease, found in archaea, bacteria and eukarya as well as chloroplasts and mitochondria. Its best characterised activity is the generation of mature 5'-ends of tRNAs by cleaving the 5'-leader elements of precursor-tRNAs. Cellular RNase Ps are ribonucleoproteins.
Source: Rfam by way of RNAcentral
CCAGGGGGCCGGGCAGCCGCGGGUGCUUUGCACGCGAGGAAAGUCCGGGCUCCACGAAACAAGGGUGGCGGGUAACGCCCGCCCGGCGAGGUCUUCGGGCCGAAGCCGAGGGAAAGUGCCACAGAGAGUAUACCGCCGAUGGCGCCUAAAGCGCACAGGCAAGGGUGAAAGGGUGCGGCAAGAGCGCACCGGGGGGCUGGCAACAGCUCCCGCAUGGCAAACCCCACCCGGAGCAAGGCCGAAUAGGGGCGGCGCGCCAGCUUGCUGGCAGAUACGUUUCGUAUCGACCGCCCGGGUUGGCUGCUGGAGCCGUGGAGCGAUCCACGGCCUAGAUGAAUGGCUGCCCCCGCGGCGCUGAUGUGCGAGCAUAUCGGCCGCGGGACAGAACCCGGCUUACAGGCCCCCUGGCACU